UACGGAGAGUGCAAACGUUGUUCGGAUUCACUGGGCGUAAAGGGCACGUAGGCGGCUCGGCAAAUCGGUCGUGGAAUCCCGACGCUUACCGUCGGAACGGCGGCCGAAAAUACCGGGCUCGAGGGCGUGAGGGGUCACUGGAACUCCUGGUGAAGCGGUGAAACGCGUAGAUAUCAGGAGGAACGCCGGAGGCGAAAGCGAGUGACUGGCGCGUUCCUGACGCUGAGGUGCGAAAGCUAGGGGAGCAAACAGG
This 253-nucleotide ribosomal RNA is filed under the name uncultured bacterium. Its description in RNAcentral is "partial 16S ribosomal RNA". It matches the Rfam family "Bacterial small subunit ribosomal RNA", at positions 524 to 776 of the family's 1533-position model. The record is from RNAcentral.